CAGCCGCCGCGGGAAAACGAAGGGGGCUAGCGUUGUUCGGAUUUACUGGGCGUAAAGGGCGCGUAGGCGGACUGAUAAGUCAGGGGUGAAAUCCCAAGGCUCAACCUUGGAACUGCCUUUGAUACUGUUUGUCUUGAGUUCGAGAGAGGUAAGUGGAACUGCGAGUGUAGAGGUGAAAUUCGUAGAUAUUCGCAAGAACACCAGUGGCGAAGGCGGCUUACUGGCUCGAUACUGACGCUGAGGCGCGAAAGCGUGGGGAGCAAACAGGAUUAGAUACCCCGGUAGUCCCUGUCUCUUAUAC
RNAcentral lists this ribosomal RNA (301 nucleotides) under uncultured bacterium. Its description in RNAcentral is "partial 16S ribosomal RNA". It matches the Rfam family "Bacterial small subunit ribosomal RNA", at positions 509 to 807 of the family's 1533-position model. The record is from RNAcentral.